UGGGGAAUUUUGGACAAUGGGCGAAAGCCUGAUCCAGCAAUGCCGCGUGUGUGAAGAAGGCCUUCGGGUUGUAAAGCACUUUUGUCCGGAAAGAAAUCCUUGGCUCUAAUACAGUCGGGGGAUGACGGUACCGGAAGAAUAAGCACCGGCUAACUACGUGCCAGCAGCCGCGGUAAUACGUAGGGUGCAAGCGUUAAUCGGAAUUACUGGGCGUAAAGCGUGCGCAGGCGGUUUGCUAAGACCGAUGUGAAAUCCCCGGGCUCAACCUGGGAACUGCAUUGGUGACUGGCAGGCUAGAGUAUGGCAGAGGGGGGUAGAAUUCCACGUGUAGCAGUGAAAUGCGUAGAGAUGUGGAGGAAUACCGAUGGCGAAGGCAGCCCCCUGGGCCAAUACUGACGCUCAUGCACGAAAGCGUGGGGGAGCAAAACAGGAUUAGAUACCCUGGUAGUCCCACGCCCUAAACGAUGUCAACUAGUUGUUGGGGAUUCAUUUCCUUAGUAACGUAGCUAACGCGUGAAGUUGACCGCCUGGGGAGUACGGUCGCAAGAUUAAAACUCAAAUGAAUUGACGGGGU
RNAcentral lists this ribosomal RNA (574 nucleotides) under uncultured bacterium. RNAcentral's name for it is "partial 16S ribosomal RNA". It matches the Rfam family "Bacterial small subunit ribosomal RNA", at positions 355 to 919 of the family's 1533-position model. The record is from RNAcentral.